This 85-nucleotide transfer RNA is filed under the name Crocuta crocuta (spotted hyena). It matches the Rfam family "tRNA". From Rfam's summary of the family: Transfer RNA (tRNA) molecules are approximately 80 nucleotides in length. Their secondary structure includes four short double-helical elements and three loops (D, anti-codon, and T loops). Further hydrogen bonds mediate the characteristic L-shaped molecular structure. tRNAs have two regions of fundamental functional importance: the anti-codon, which is responsible for specific mRNA codon recognition, and the 3' end, to which the tRNAs corresponding amino acid is attached (by aminoacyl-tRNA synthetases). tRNAs cope with the degeneracy of the genetic code in two manners: having more than one tRNA (with a specific anti-codon) for a particular amino acid; and 'wobble' base-pairing, i.e. permitting non-standard base-pairing at the 3rd anti-codon position. RNAcentral also lists the same sequence under 2 other names. Lineage: Eukaryota; Metazoa; Chordata; Mammalia; Carnivora; Hyaenidae. The record is from Rfam by way of RNAcentral.
GCCUGGGUGGCUCAGUUGGUUGAGCAUCCGACUUCGGCUCAGGUCAUGAUCUCACGGUUCGUGGGUUCGAGCCCCGCGUCGGGCU